AUGAACGCUGGCGGCGUGCCUAAUACAUGCCAGUCGAGCGAACAGACGAGGAGCUUGCCCCUCUGACGUUAGCGGCGGACGGGUGAGUAACACGUGGAUAACCUACCUAUAAGACUGGGAUAACUUCGGGAAACCGGAGCUAAUACCGGAUAAUAUAUUGAACCGCAUGGUUCAAUAGUGAAAGACGGUUUUGCUGUCACUUAUAGAUGGAUCCGCGCCGCAUUAGCUAGUUGGUAAGGUAACGGCUUACCAAGGCAACGAUGCGUAGCCGACCUGAGAGGGUGAUCGGCCACACUGGAACUGAGACACGGUCCAGACUCCUACGGGAGGCAGCAGUAGGGAAUCUUCCGCAAUGGGCGAAAGCUUGACGGAGCAACGCCGCGUGAGUGAUGAAGGUCUUCGGAUCGUAAAACUCUGUUAUUAGGGAAGAACAAAUGUGUAAGUAACUAUGCACGUCUUGACGGUACCUAAUCAGAAAGCCACGGCUAACUACGUG
This 496-nucleotide ribosomal RNA is filed under the name uncultured bacterium. Its description in RNAcentral is "partial 16S ribosomal RNA". It matches the Rfam family "Bacterial small subunit ribosomal RNA", at positions 29 to 507 of the family's 1533-position model. The record is from RNAcentral.